UACGUAGGGGGCUAGCGUUGUCCGGAUUUAUUGGGCGUAAAGAGCGUGUAGGCGGCCAUGUAGGUCCGGUGUGAAAACUCGAGGCUUAACCUCGAGAUGUCAUCGGAAACCAUUUGGCUAGAGUCCGGAAGAGGAGAGUGGAAUUCCUGGUGUAGCGGUGAAAUGCGCAGAUAUCAGGAGGAACACCGGUGGCGAAGGCGGCUUGCUGGGCCUUACCUGACGCUGAGGAGCGAAAGCGUGGGGAGCAAACAGG
This 253-nucleotide ribosomal RNA is filed under the name uncultured bacterium. RNAcentral describes it as "partial 16S ribosomal RNA". It matches the Rfam family "Bacterial small subunit ribosomal RNA", at positions 524 to 776 of the family's 1533-position model. The record is from RNAcentral.